AUAUUUGAAAUAAUUUAUUAUAUUCAGUUUCGACCUGAAAAUUAAGUUAAUCUUUUUAACUCAAAUAUA
This 69-nucleotide transfer RNA is filed under the name Hemathlophorus sp. RNAcentral describes it as "tRNA-Arg". The record is from RNAcentral. Lineage: Eukaryota; Metazoa; Arthropoda; Insecta; Hymenoptera; Tenthredinidae.